GGGCCCGCACAAGCGGUGGAGUAUGUGGUUUAAUUCGAUGCAACGCGAAGAACCUUACCAGGGUUUGACAUCCUGCGAAUCUCUUGGAAACGAGAGAGUGCCUUCGGGAGCGCAGUGACAGGUGGUGCAUGGCUGUCGUCAGCUCGUGUCGUGAGAUGUUGGGUUAAGUCCCGCAACGAGCGCAACCCACGUCUUUAGUUGCCAGCAUUAGUUGGGCACUCUAAAAAGACUGCCGGUUAUAAACCGGAGGAAGGUGGGGAUGACGUCAAGUCAGCAUGCCCCUUACACCCUGGGCUACACACGUGCUACAUUGGGCGAGACAAUGAGAUGCAAAUCUGUGAAGACUAGCUAAUCUAUAAACUCGUUCUA
RNAcentral lists this ribosomal RNA (369 nucleotides) under uncultured bacterium. RNAcentral describes it as "bacterial SSU rRNA". It matches the Rfam family "Bacterial small subunit ribosomal RNA", at positions 917 to 1289 of the family's 1533-position model. The record is from RNAcentral.